Non-coding RNA from Sulfuricurvum sp., 74 nucleotides. Lineage: Bacteria; Pseudomonadati; Campylobacterota; Epsilonproteobacteria; Campylobacterales; Sulfurimonadaceae. The record is from Rfam.
GCAGCGGUAGUUCAGUUGGUUAGAAUGCCUGCCUGUCACGCAGGAGGUCGCGGGUUCGAGUCCCGUCCGCUGCG